Non-coding RNA from Paramuricea clavata, 833 nucleotides. Lineage: Eukaryota; Metazoa; Cnidaria; Anthozoa; Malacalcyonacea; Plexauridae. The record is from the annotation of a GenBank genome assembly.
GUUUUAUUUCAAAGUGCAUAUGUCGUUCAACUUCACAAUCAAUACAUCAACUUGGCAAAAUAAGAAAAUAUCUUUCACAAAAGGAUACCGAAAGUCUUAGUGUUCAUGCAUUUAUCUCAUCCAAACUAGUCGAUUAUUGCGUCCUCUUCAAAGGUUACAAAACACUGCUACCAAAGGUACUGCUACCAGAAGUUUAGAUCCUAAUUAGGGCCUGUUUACAUGGAGGUAGGGUGACCCUAUCAGGAGGGUUAUCCUAGCAAGCGGGUCAGAAAAUAGCGAGCGUUUACAUGAGGUAGGGUGACCCUACUGCUAGGGCUAUGUUGCCGGAUAGGGUAACCCUACCUAUGCGUGGUCGCUAAGCGGUCUGUAUUAGAUAAAUGGCGCCGAAACGCAAAGUUUUAGCGGCAAGUUGUGUAAUGCUAUUUAUUGGGCCUUUGCUUGCUGCAUUUCAAUGUUGUGGUCUGUUAUUUCCGAGGUUAUUUCAAUACCGUGGUCUGUUAUUUCAAUCGGUUGUGGUCUAUUACUCGCAUUGCGUAAAUAAGCGUAAUGUAUUCCUUGAUAUAGUCCAACACAACAGUUUUUCGACAUGUUCGGCUGACCAUGAGCAUUUAUUUUGUUUUUUUGACGUCGAUGAGGAUGCGCCGGAAUUUUGUUUCCUUUUCGCCGUCUUUGACAAUUUGUUAUCGAAAGUCGAAACUACAUCAUUCGCAGCGUUCUCGUCGAAAGUCAAAGCUUCGUUCUAUGCCUCUGUUUCCUUAUUUGUAAAUUGCUUAUCCUUUUUAUUUUCUGGUGUCGUUUAAAAUACUCGCCAGGCUGAUAUGUUCAUAUGUAUA